GGAGACGCCAGGCUGGGAUUUCCGCUCGAUCUGGGAAUGAGCAAUGCAACCUAAUGACACCCAGAGCUCCUGAAUCACCCGAGGAAAAUGACGAGAGACUCCCUCCGGUGGGAACGUCUCCUAGAAACAAGGCCUAAGAUGGGGCGACAACAGCCCCACAGCUGUGUCCAGAUGCAGGGAGCACUCGCCUGUGCUGUGAGGGACGGCCGGUGUCAUCGUUGGAGCUUCCUAAGAGUCCCAGAGGCUGAUGCACCUCCCAGACUCUCCUCGGCCCGGCUCCCUGGGCCCUGCUCCAGGGGCUUCAUUGCUCCCUGCCCCGGGUCACCCCUCGGCUCACCGUCUCUCAGGUGUGGAAUAUCCUGCUCCAAUCAAAGCCAUGUCACCUGCGUUGUCCAGUGAAACAUCAGUGGACAGGCGCUGCCCGGGCUCCAGGGAGCUCCUCACUGAGGCUCACUCCCUGUGCCUCUGCCAUCAGCACAGGGGGACAUGCCUG
RNAcentral lists this long non-coding RNA (493 nucleotides) under Homo sapiens (human). RNAcentral describes it as "non-protein coding lnc-STX2-7:1". Lineage: Eukaryota; Metazoa; Chordata; Mammalia; Primates; Hominidae. The record is from RNAcentral.